RNAcentral lists this ribosomal RNA (371 nucleotides) under Staphylococcus epidermidis. Its description in RNAcentral is "bacterial SSU rRNA". It matches the Rfam family "Bacterial small subunit ribosomal RNA", at positions 1170 to 1533 of the family's 1533-position model. Lineage: Bacteria; Bacillati; Bacillota; Bacilli; Caryophanales; Staphylococcaceae. The record is from RNAcentral.
AAGGUGGGGAUGACGUCAAAUCAUCAUGCCCCUUAUGAUUUGGGCUACACACGUGCUACAAUGGACAAUACAAAGGGCAGCGAAACCGCGAGGUCAAGCAAAUCCCAUAAAGUUGUUCUCAGUUCGGAUUGUAGUCUGCAACUCGACUAUAUGAAGCUGGAAUCGCUAGUAAUCGUAGAUCAGCAUGCUACGGUGAAUACGUUCCCGGGUCUUGUACACACCGCCCGUCACACCACGAGAGUUUGUAACACCCGAAGCCGGUGGAGUAACCAUUUGGAACUAGCCGUCGAAGGUGGGACAAAUGAUUGGGGUGAAGUCGUAACAAGGUAGCCGUAUCGGAAGGUGCGGCUGGAUCACCUCCUUUCUAAGGA